UACGGAGGGUGCUAGCGUUGUCCGGAAUUAUUGGGCGUAAAGGGCUCGUAGGCGGUCUGUCACGUCGGGAGUGAAAACUCAGGGCUUAACCCUGAGCCUGCUUCCGAUACGGGCUGACUAGAGGUAUGCAGGGGAGAACGGAAUUCCUGGUGUAGCGGUGAAAUGCGCAGAUAUCAGGAGGAACACCGGUGGCGAAGGCGGUUCUCUGGGCAUUACCUGACGCUGAGGAGCGAAAGUGUGGGGAGCGAACAGG
Molecule: ribosomal RNA, 253 nt
Filed under: uncultured bacterium
Lineage: Bacteria
Description: partial 16S ribosomal RNA
Rfam family: Bacterial small subunit ribosomal RNA
Source: RNAcentral